This 723-nucleotide ribosomal RNA is filed under the name Epicoccum sorghinum. RNAcentral's name for it is "eukaryotic LSU rRNA". The stretch from base 180 to 333 matches the Rfam family "5.8S ribosomal RNA". Lineage: Eukaryota; Fungi; Ascomycota; Dothideomycetes; Pleosporales; Didymellaceae. The record is from RNAcentral.
AUCAUUACCUAGGUUUGCGGUUGCUCACUUCUAUACGUUGUAGAGCUCUGUGCCUUGCGUAUCUGCUUCACCCAUGAUCGUCUGAUACAAAACAAAAACCACGGCGGGUUCGCCCACCGAUUGAACAAAUUCCAACCCUUUGCGGUUGAAGUCACCGUCUGAAAAAACUUAAUACUUACAACUUUCAACAACGGAGGACUUGGUUCUGGCGGUUUUAAAUACCGCUCCGGAGUGCGAAAAUUAGUGUGAAUUGCAGAAUUCAGUGAAUCAUCUAAUCUUUGAACGCACAUUGCGCCCCUUGGUAUUCCAUGGGGCAUGCCUGUUCAAGCUUCUUUUGAACCUUCAAGCUUUGCUUGGUGUUGGGUGUUUGUCUCCUGAAAACUCGCCUUAAAACAAUUGGCAGCCGGCGUAUUGAUUUCGGAGCGCACUACAUCUCGCGCUUUGCACUCAUAACGACUACUUCCAAAAGUACAUUUUUACGCUCUUGACCUCGGAUCAGGUAGGGAUACCCGCUAAACUUAAGCAUAUCAAUAAGCGGAGGAAAAGAAACCAACCAAUCCUUAGGUUAAUGAGGCAAACCUAACCGAACUGAAACUUCUAAAUGCCCCAAGGAAAAGAAACCAACCAUAAACUCACUAUCAUUAACUGAAUCCUUAGGUGGAUGAGGGGGGACGAGCGGGAACUGAUACAUUUUUCGUACCCCAAGAAAACCAACCAUACCCA